Molecule: small RNA, 282 nt
Filed under: Pan paniscus (pygmy chimpanzee)
Lineage: Eukaryota; Metazoa; Chordata; Mammalia; Primates; Hominidae
Description: Metazoan signal recognition particle RNA (ENSPPAG00000006168.1)
Source: RNAcentral
GCUGGGUGCAGUAGCUUACACCUGUAAUCCCAGCACUUUGGGAAGCAGAGGCAGAUGGAUUGCUUGAGGUCAGGAGUUCGAGACCAGCCUGGCCGACAUGGUGAAACCCCAUCUCUACUAAAAAUACAAAAAUUAGCUGGACUUGGUGGCGGGCGCCUGUAAUCCCAGCUACUCAGGAGGCUGAGGCAGGAGAAUCACUUGAACCUGGGAGGUGGAGGUUGCAGUGAGCCAAGAUGGUGCCACUGCACUCAAGCCUGGGCAACACAGUGAGACUCUGUCUCA